GCAACAACCCUCCAUUGGUCUACUAAUUUGAGCAUUUAGUUACACAACUAAACUCAACAUUUGAUUACAAUUUCUCUACAUAAUCUCCUCUUGGAAAUGCAGAAACAACUAGGUAACACCUACAAAUUUUCUCUUGGGCGUCUGCUCCUGCUUCCCUUGUCAAUACAUCAGAUUUUCUUCUCUUUCAACAUCUGUCGAACAUGUGGUGUGCAUAUAUAGGAUUGAUGAGUUGUGCAAUACUCUACAUUGAGAAAGACCCUGAUAUAUAAGAUAAUUGAGAAAGACCCUGAUAUAUCAGAUAACCAAAAACAGGUGGUAAUGGAAAUUUCCAAUGUCUAUUCCCUCCAGAUCUAAAAAAAAAAUUGUCUAUUCGCUCAUGGACUCCGUCAUCGCCGGACGCACCUCCAAUUGGAUCGGCUGUCACUGCACCACUGUAUUCGUCGAGGCAUCUUCUUUGUCGGAGCACUGCUUAUGGGCUGCACCAUCACCUAUACACCGCUUCAUCGGCGGCGUCGGCGACGCGCUCCUGAUGGCGCCUGGAAUGGGUGUGGGGGUUGCACAGGGAUGGGAAUUUGGUGAUGGCGGCGGAACCCUUG
RNAcentral lists this long non-coding RNA (596 nucleotides) under Salvia miltiorrhiza (redroot sage). Its description in RNAcentral is "long non-coding RNA (SMIL_LNC007319)". The record is from RNAcentral. Lineage: Eukaryota; Viridiplantae; Streptophyta; Magnoliopsida; Lamiales; Lamiaceae.